GGGUGUAUACAUUUUUUUCGGUUAAUUAUAUGGUAUGGAGUGGGUAGAAUCGUGAUUGUGUUUCUUUCUAUCUCCGCGGGGUUCAAAAAAAUGGGAAAUGCAGCAAUAUGCACGUGAAGAUCGUACAAGAAUGGUAAGAGUUGCAGCCUUGCACGCACCGCAAUCACGCUAUACAACCAACAUUGUCUAUCUGCUAACAAUAUUUAUUCCAUACGUUUUAAUAUUCUGAUAUUCUCCCUUUUCUGUUCCUUUUCGAUCAACGAGAAUCC
RNAcentral lists this long non-coding RNA (269 nucleotides) under Lupinus angustifolius (narrow-leaved blue lupine). Its description in RNAcentral is "long non-coding RNA (LANG_LNC002868)". The record is from RNAcentral. Lineage: Eukaryota; Viridiplantae; Streptophyta; Magnoliopsida; Fabales; Fabaceae.